RNA transcript from Musa acuminata AAA Group (dessert banana), 13086 nucleotides. RefSeq lists it as uncharacterized. Lineage: Eukaryota; Viridiplantae; Streptophyta; Magnoliopsida; Zingiberales; Musaceae. The transcript is spliced from 15 exons. The record is from RefSeq and is a predicted model, not a curated record.
GUCACGAAAGAAGCAGCCAAAGCUGUUUUGGUAUCUUCGUCGUCGCCCUAACCCUAAUCACCCCAUCACCACCCACCCCUCCCCCCAAAUCGAACCAUCGUCAUGGCCAGCGAGGAGUCGCCGUCGCCGACCUCAAGCGGCAAGCACUGCCGUUCGGCAGACGAUCAUGAGGCCGAGACAUCGUCGAAGCGACGGAAGCACCGUCACCGUCACCAUCACCGCCAUCACAGCAGACGCGGUCGCGAGAGUGAUGACGGGGCCGAGGAGGCCGCUCGGCUUGCGGAGGCGGUGACUGCUUCUUGUCCCGUUCCGAAGCCUGCUGAUGAGGAGCGAGAGGAGGGUGAGAUUCUCGAAGAUGACGAGGAGAUGGCCAACCUUGAUCAUACUAAAGUCGAUGGCUUCGUGACCGAUGGGGUUUCCGACUCUGGAUCGGGUGAAAUCAAGCCUGACGGCGUCGAUGUUUAUUCCAAUCUGAUUGUGCCUGGGGUGAAAGAUAGUUCUGGGAAAAAUGUUAUGGUGCUUAGUCAUAAGCAGAACACACUGAAAGAUGAAAAGAUGUUGGACCUUGCUUGGUCAUGUGAGAAUUCUAGUUUGAAUGAUACAGCUUGGAUGGAGGUAGAUACAUCAGAUGGAGAAAAUUGUGUCUGGAAGGCUGAGAGUAUAACAAAACCAUUAGAACUAAAUGACAACAAGCAAAUGCAAACUGACAGAAAUGAUUCAGAAAGUCAAGUAAGAUCAAGAUCUCCGGUUUCUAAGGAAAGUUCUCAUGCAGCAAAGGACAGGAUGAGUUAUGACCAUGUGAAAAAAACUUCUGACAGUGACUCAGAGAAGGUUGACUCAAAGCAGUAUAUGGAGUCAAAGGAUGCUAACAGAAGAGCAACUGAUAGGAACAGGUCAGUGUCGCCCAAAAGUUCACAAGAAAGGUACAGGAACACUAGAAGGUCUCCAGCAUCCAUCAGGUACCAUGAUGAAGACAAAUAUAGGGAUAAGUCCAGGCCUAUUGAUCAUAGAAAGAGGAGAUCAUAUGAAAAGGUCUCAGAGCAUUCAGACAUGGGUGAUGAUCAAGUUGGUUUGCAGGAAAGUAAGAGGGAUUAUUCCAAUAGGCAGCAUAAGUUGGACAGAUGUGCAGCUAGAAAUCGAGUAAGUGAUAUAGAGAUUCCUAACGAAAGAGAGAGUAGUGGCAAAAGAAGACAUGAUGACAGGCACAGAAGUCGGGAAAGAGAUAGGGAGAGGGAAAGAAGUAGUAGUAGUGUCAGAGACACAGAUAAAACACAGUUGGAUAAAAGGUCUCACAGGGAAAAAGAGAGGAGUAGCAGUCAUAGCAGAUAUGACAGACAAGCAGACAAGCAUGAAAUUUGGGACAGAGAAAGUGGGAAAGAAAAAUACAGCUUCAGCACAAGAGACAGAGUAAGAGAUAAACCAAGGGAUUUGAAUAGGGAGAAAUAUGUAGAGAGGGAGAGGUUCAGGGAGAGUAAGCAUGAAAAAAAACGGGAUGAUAGUGAUAGAGAUAAGAAUAAGUCUAGGGACAGGGAAAUUAUUGCUCAUAAGGGUAAAGAACAUGGUGAUCAAAUGGAAACAGAUAGGAUUAGUAGCAGGUAUAGACAUAGGGAAUCUAGGCAUCCAAAGUACGAUGAAGUAGAGCAUCACAAGGAUAAAUCACGUUCGGAGGCUGGUUUCAAGAAAGACAAUUCUGACAAAGACACACAAAAGUCUAUUAGGGAGGAGGAGGAAGAGGAAGACUACCAAGAUAAAAUUGAACAACAACUUGCCAAGCAGGAUGAAGAUGAUGUUGACAUGAUUAAAAAUGAGAGCAGAAAAAGGAGGCAGGCUAUCUUGGAAAAAUAUCGACAGCGGCAGCUGCGGCAAGUUGAAUCCUCAUCUGAUGGUAAUGUGAAUGAAUCUGAGAAAGCCACUUCGGAUAAGGAGAAUCUACAGGGAUUGCUUGCUAUGAGUGUUGAUAACAAAGUGAAUAAUGAAGAGCUUGAGAAUAGGGAUGACUCCAGAAAUGUAUUUGAUGUUGGUCCAUCGUUUUCUGUGGGAAAGUCACCUGUACAGAAUGGAGAUUUAGCUGAUAAGAAAAUGAACAAUGUUGGGGGACUUGGAGAGGGUACUCCAAAGAGUGAAAUAUCAGCCGAUAUGUUUACUGAUGACAUGUUUGGAGAAUCACCAGCUGGAGUUUGUGUGAAGGGAAAGUGUGAAGGACCACAGAUAGACAGAAGUUAUCUUCAUGACAACUGGGAUGAUGCAGAGGGUUAUUAUAGUUACAGGUUUGGGGAAGUACUCGAUGGUCGCUAUGAAGUUGUUGCAGCACAUGGAAAGGGUGUCUUCUCAACAGUUGUUCGUGCUAGGGAUCUCAAGGCUGGGAAAGGUGACCCUGAAGAAGUGGCUAUUAAAAUGAUUCGCAACAAUGAUACCAUGUACAAGGCAGGUCAGGAUGAACUUGUUAUAUUGAAGAAAUUGGUAGGCGCUGAUCCCGAGGACAAACGUCAUUGUGUUAGGUUUCUUUCAUCUUUCAAGUAUCGGAAUCAUCUUUGCUUAGUUUUUGAAUCUCUUCAUAUGAACCUUCGUGAGGUUCUAAAGAAAUUUGGUCGUAACAUUGGGCUAAAACUGACUGCUGUGAGGGCCUAUGCAAAGCAGCUUUUCAUUGCGCUGAAGCAUCUCAGAAAUUGUGGCGUUCUGCACUGUGACAUUAAACCGGAUAAUAUGCUGGUAAAUGAGCCCAAAAAUGUGCUCAAGCUUUGUGAUUUUGGCAAUGCUAUGUUCGCGGGUAAGAAUGAGAUUACACCCUACCUUGUUAGCCGCUUUUACCGUGCCCCAGAAAUAAUUCUUGGAUUGCCAUAUGAUCAUCCAAUGGAUGUGUGGUCGGUUGGUUGCUGUCUAUAUGAACUGUACACAGGGAAAGUACUCUUUCCUGGCCCAUCAAACAAUGACAUGCUUCGACUACACAUGGAGUUAAAGGGUCCUUUCCCCAAAAAGAUGCUUCGGAAGGGUGCCUUCACAGAUCACCAUUUUGAUCAAGAUUUAAAUUUUCAUGCCACUGAGGAGGAUCCUGUUACAAAGAAGCCUGUUAAGAGACUGCUGAUAAAUAUUAAGCCAAAGGACAUCGGCGCUCUCAUGUCAGGCUUUUCUGAGGAGGAUCCCAAAAUGUUAUCAAAUUUUAAGGAUCUUCUAGAUCGAAUAUUUGUAUUGGAUCCAGAAAAGAGGAUGACAGUAUCUCAGGCAUUAAGUCAUCCAUUUAUCACGGGCAAGUGAAAUAAGAUGCUGAUUUUCCUGACUCUAGAAAUGUUGUUCAGCUAUGAGUCUACCAUGUGAUCUAUAUUGAUAUUUCCCAUCUAAUUCUUCGGCGUUUAUUCUGUCUUUUCACUGCUUGGUGGAGCUUGGUGGAUCGCGUUGAAGAGGAGUUGAAAGGAUCAUUUGUUUUAAAGCCUUUCUUCAUGGGAGUUCUUAACAUGGGAUGUGUUUCUGUUUCUUGGUUCUGCCAGGGCUAUGUGGCUAUCAACAGUGUUUUAGAUGCUAGAAGACAACCAAAAAAAGAUGGGAGAUUGCUGGAAGCAUUGCUUGUGCUGUUGAAAUCAAUGGUUUGUUUGCUAACCUUCCAACAAUUCAGUUUGUUGCUUACGUCUGGUCUAAUUUAUCUGUCUACAAAUGAUGGGACUUGGCUUGAAUUUUCAAAUAAGAUGUUAAAAAUUUGGGAUGGUAUAGUGAAUCACUUGCCUAUAGAUUUUAUAUACUUCAAUUUUUUUAAGCUUGAAUCAAUGGAAUUCUAUAUAUGCCUGUCAUGGAGUUUCAGUUGCACAUUAUGAUGUGUCUAUGACAUGUCUUUAUAUUUCAUUACAACACCACCUUUGGAAUCUUUGGUUCAUGUUAACAAAUUUAGGAUUGCUGUUCACUAUUCAGCUUGUGCAGCUAAGGCUACUAUUACUGUUGGUAAUUGGUAGAAUACUUUGUAAAUAUGGACGAGCCCUGUUAAAGAGGUGAACCUUUUCUUGUACAUUUGGCUCAAAUGCAGCAGCACCUAUAUCCCUUUGAAUAUUUUUUUCUUAGUUUUUUAUGAUGUCUAGCUUUUCUUGUGUUUCCUUUUCUUCGAUCCUCUCUUUCUUCUCUCUCUCAUCACUAUGCUGCUUUGCCACCAACCUCCUCCACUUUGCUGUCAUUGCUUUGCUGUAUGGCAACUUUAUUCCUUCACUAUCCUUCAUGCGUGUUGCUUUCCCUCUAGUACACCUUUGCCUAGGGUUUGAUUUAUUGAUGCGUAUUGCUCGGUAUGGGUGGUACGUAACAGUCCGAUAGGAUAUCGGUACGCGGACCGCCCUCUAUUGGGCGGUACCGGUUACUUGACGCUCGAUACGAGGUCUGUACUGGGUGGUAACAGUCAAAAUCCAAUUGUUACCGACCUGUACCGGUCGGUACACUCGGAUUUUGAUCGUUAUCGAAUAAGGGCUGUGAUUGUUCUAUUUCAAAUGGUCAAUUUGAUCGUCCGAGGCUUAGAAAAAGGUUUUUAAAUCCUUUUUUCCUUCUUUCAACUCAUUUCACUCUCUCAAUCUCUUACACUCUUUCUAACUCUUUUUCACUCGUAUCUCUCUCUUGUUUUCACAUUUUCACUCUCCUAAACUCAACAAAGCUAUGAUUUGUGGAUUGGAUCAAAUUUAGGAGGUUACUUUGGGAGGUUUAAGAGGAAGAACACUCUAAUCAAUGGGUUUGUAUUUUUUUUCUAGAUUUUUAUUGAUUUAUGAGAGGAUUAAGCCUAUUCUAUGUGGUGUAUGACUUAAUGUCUAAUAUGUUGUUUGAUAUAUUUUUGAUGGUAAAAUAAUAUUAAUUAGGGAGUAAUUAAGGUUUUUGAUGUUGUGAUUAGUGUGUUUAAUAUUGACUUUUUUUCAAAAUUAGACAUUUAGUAGGUCAAAUAUAUAUAUUUCAUGCAUAUUAAGGAUUGGAUCAUAUGUUUGUAAUGGUAUAAUAGGUUUAAUUAGGUUUUAAUUAGGUUUUUUAAGAUUAAUGGUUUUAAUGAUGAUUUAAUCAAAAUUUAAUCGAUAUUGGGUCAAUUUAUAUUAUUUUUACUAAAAUUAUACUAAUUUUAUAUUUAUUUUUAACUUAAAAACUCUAAUAUAAUAUUUUCUAAUUUUCAGAUAUUUUUUGGAGGUUUUUUUUGAUAAUUUUGGGCGUACCAUUGUACCAUCGGUACACCUCGAUAUGUGUCGUACCGAGUAGGGCUCGGUACACCGGUAUAGAUCGAAAUUGCAAUUCUUGCCUUAGCCUGCUUUUUUUUCUCCACUUCCAUCACUGCCUCCACUUUCUCUUCCUUUUGCUUCACAUCCUCCUACUCCUCUCCUCUGGUGCCUUCCCUCUUACUAUUUGCUCUUUUCCGUCCUGACAUACUAUUUGUACAAACUAGGUACACACUUCCAAAUAGCAACCAGACACAAGCAUUGGAUGGAAACCUAAAAUCUUAAUUGUACCUACUUUUAGUCUGAUGAGAAAUAAUAUACUUUUUAUCUGAAACUAAAAAUGGGUAUUACAUGGUUUAUUAUAGUGGAGCCAUGAGUUUUUGGCUAUUUGCCAUUUGCCUGAACUAGACAGGUUAAAAGGCAAAUAUUUAUUUGGCCUUUGUGAUAUCAGGCUGCCCCCUUCUGUUAUAAUAGUGAAAAUUGACAAUAUUAGGGUAAAACAUGUUAAAAAAUUUUCUAUAGUUAAUGAAAUAUUGAGUUAGAUUAAUUAAAAGAGAACAAGGAUAUCAUUUAUUAGUCUAAUUAUCCCUUUUUUGUACUAGUGAUCUUGUAGGUGUUGGAUGAUCUUAGAUGUAUUCGAUAAUUUUCACUCAAAACUCAUCCUUUAAAUUAUUUUUUAAAUAUUAAUAAGUAGCAUAUGAGUUCGUUGAAAGAUUUGCAUAAGAUUUAUAUUGAUUACAAAAAAGCCUAUAAUAGAGGUCCUAUAGUUAUAUUAUUACGAGUUCAGAAUAGAAAGAUAUAUUUCCUUGAUGUCAUAAAAGAACGCAUAUGUUAGUGUAGUCAUUAGUGUUAGACCUAUAGGGUUUGUGUCGAGUUAGUUUCCAAUUAGUAUAGGUUUACAUCAAGGUUGGCUUUAAGUUUGGCCAAUUUUAAUUGGUAAUAGAUAAACUUACUUAUCGUGCACAUGAUGAAUCUCCAUGAUGUAUUUUAUUUGCUGAUAAUAUUAUUAUAGGUGAUGAGAGUUUAAAUGAAAUUAAUUGUGAACUUGAGCUAUAGAUCUAAAGAUAGUUGUGAAAUUAAAGAUUUUAAAAAUCAAAUAGGACUAAGAUUAGAUGUAUGAGAUGCAAUUUUAGUAAUACCAAGAGAAAAACUAAGGUUAUUGUUAAAUUUAUGAAAAGAAAGUUUUAAUAGGUAAAAUUUGUUGGCAUCUUUGAUCGAAUAUUUAACAAGAUGGAGAUUUUGAUGCUUGUUUAGUGACUAAAAAUCAGGUGACAAGAGUGGAUAAAGAUGCAAGGAGUUUUGUGUGACUACCUAGUACCUCAUAGAUUGAUACGACAUUUUAUAAGAUAAUUUUUAGGCCAAUUAUGAUGGAUAUGAGAAUUGAGCGAUUAAGAAAUAAUAUAUACAAAGAGUUUGUAUCAUUGAGAUGAGAAUGUCGAGAUGGAUAUGUGUGAUUAAUAGAUAAAAAUAAAUGUUUUGGUUUGUGAAUAAUUAAGUGUAACUUCGAUAAGUGAUAAAAUGAGAAAGCGUUUUUGAUAUGUGUGCGAUACCUAUAGAUUUUGUAGUUAGAGAAUGUGAGACAAUUUUUAUUAGUGAUACAAUGAGAGUUUGAGGAAAACCUUAGAAGUCCUUUCUGGAAACUAUAAAUAAAUAUUUAAACUCUCUUAAUUUAACUAAUGAUAUUUCUUUAUGCAUAGCACAAUGGCAGCAAGAGAUUUAUGUAGUCGAUCCCAAAUAGUUGGGAUAAUAUGGCUUGUUUGUUUGUUUAGCAGGAUAUGAAUUAGUUUUGGUGGUGUUUGUAGAUCCUCCCAAUUGAGGAAUUCAAUUUCGUUUGGAGCCGAUCAUAUCAACCUGUGUUUGCUAGCCUAUGCACAGAUUGAGAUGUGGAACAUCCUUUUUUGGAUGGUUUGAAUUUGGCAUAGGGUUUACCAUCUUGUAACCCAUUUGAACUGUUUGGUUUAGGCCUGAAAUUGGACCUAAACAGGGCCAUAAGAGCCUGGUCCAUUUUUUUUUAAUAUUUAGGGCCUAGAUCAGGCUCAUUCCAAGUGUUUUUUCAGAAGUGGAGAAUGAAGAGCUAAGAAUUAAGUAUGGUGGAGGACUGAAAGAAAAAUAUUUUCAGAAGUGGCUGAACUCAAAAGUGGCCAUUGAUACUUAUAAUAUUAUUAUAUUUUAGUGCUGGAUUAGUUGAUGGAGGUGAACAGUAGACUGUUGGUGAGAUUAAAAUGAGGGUUUUAAAGGAUUACUUCUUCCGAAUUCCAAACUGCAUCUAUGGAGAAGCUUUUCCUUAUAUAUAAUUGGAGACUUGGAAAUAAACUGAAAAGCGGAGGUGAACCAUGUCCACCAAUUCGGUCCUUAGGAUUGGGAUCAUUUCAAGAUUCAACUUAUGGAGAGCAUUGUUGUUGAUGAACAUAACUCUAGCAUGGAGAAUAUAAACUCAAAGUUUUAAUGUUGAAAACACUAAGCAAAAUUAAAAUAUAUAUGCUAACUUUUUUAUUUUAUGAAUCAGGAUACAUAUGAUGAGAUUAAACACUCAUAAAACAUGGUUUCAAGCAAUGCUAAUUAUUAUAUUUGGUACAACACACAAAUUGGGCGGUAUAGUUCAAGGUUUGACGAACCAUCCAAAAUGGUAUGAAAUGGGUGUUAGGUAUUGGUUUGCCAAUUGGUUGAUACUUUGACUUGUUCGCGUUGGGCAGUACAUAGAAAAGGAUCAAGUACUGGUUGAUAUGAUCAAAACUCAUGCUGUAUCAAUCGACACGAAUAUGUCGUGGUUGGAAUUUGAUCGAUACCGACUUAAAUCGAGUCAAGUUUGACCCCAAUAGUCAAAUUGACCAUUGGGGCCUCUUUUGGGGCUUUAAAUCCCCUCUUUCCUCACUCUUUUACUCACUCUCAUUCUCACUCUUUCUCACGUUCUCGCUUGUGAUUAAAGUACCUAGUUGGCGAUUAGUGAUAAUCAAGCUUUGGAUUUGGAUAAAAGAGGAGUUGGAACUCGAGAUCUAAUGAAUUUAUCUCCAAUUUGAAGGUAUUUAGCUUAUUUUUAUGUUUUAUUUAUCAUUUCAUAUAAUUAGAGGCAUACUAAUGCAUAUUUAUAAAGAUUAAACAUGAUUAAGGUAAGUAUCUUGUGUAAAUCCCAAUUAGCUCUAUUGUCUUAAAUUUAGGCCCGAAUUGGGGGUAUUUAGGUUAAUAACAACCUUAUGCAUUUAUUAUGUCUUAUAUACUCUCUCUUCUUAAUUAAAUACAAUAAAAUUAUCAUUAAUUUGGAUUAAAAACCUAAAAUAGUUUUUUUUUGUGAAUUUUCGUCCAUUUUUAAGCCUCUUUCCGAAAAGGGCUGAUCGGUAUGUGCUGAUAUGUAUCGGUCCACCUAUGGACUGAUAACAGUGGUUAUUGACCAUUUUAAUUUUUUUUAAUUUUUUUUAAAAAAUUAAGAUUUACCACCUUGGUACAAUUUAACUGUGGUUAUUGACUGAUCCGAAAAGGGCUGAUAUGGUACAAUGAUCCUUGGUACAAUCUACCACCUUCUCAUCCAAUAUCAAUAUUUUUUAAAAUUUAUGACAAUUGUUGUAGAGCUUAUUGGAUGGUACGGAGUCCAAGUCGAAGGGUGCUGGAAAGUAAGCCUCCUUUGCUUGGUACCAACAUUUUCUUUAAGAUAGUUGUUGAUUCUUUUUAACAUUUUCCUCUCUCUGCUUCUGUCUCUUUUGUGUCUUUUGACUCUUGCUCCCUAUAGACCGUCAUCUCCUCUUCCUCUCCUUGUGUCGUCACUGCCACCUUUCAUUAUGCGUGGCCACAUUCUUUUCCACCUCUUCUCUUCCUCCCUCACACCUCUGCUUCCUCAUUUUCUCCACCUCAUCCCCUCUUCUAUUUCUCUUUUGUUUGUUUAAUUUUGCCCUCAUUUAGGGGGUAGUUGUAUUGGUUGACAUGGGGGCAUACUGACAUCGGUAUGCCAACGAUAGUGGUUCAACCACUAUCGACAGUGGAUCAAGAUUUGAAACCUUGGUUUCAAGUAGAGAUUGGGUAUGCAUGGAUUGUAGACUUUUCCGUAUGCAUGUAUUGCCCAUAGAAGGGCAAGCCUUGGUGCCACGACAAGUUUGCUUGUUUGCAACUUGGGUGGCCAGAGUUCAAGUCACAGAAACAACCUUGCAAAGUUAAAACCGUGUACAUGGCAAUCUGAGAUCCCACACAAGUGAGAAUCUCUAUACACUGGGGUCAUCCUUUGUUGUGUAUUGUUGCCACCAUUAAUCAUAUGCUAAAUAGGAGGCAAGGGAUGGACCCAUGAUUUGUGGACUUCUUCUAAUCUAGAGGAUUUGAUGAGUAUUAUUUUCAUAUUAAUACUCCUUAUGCGGCCAAGGCUACUGGCAAGUUGCCUUGAUCUGUUUAAUUUUUUAAAGAGUGCAAACAUUUGGAAUUAUUGAAGUUUAGGGUGUUGGUUUUCCACGAUUAGAACUUUAAAUGCCCAGCUACAAGCAACUACCAAACUGUAAUUACUUUUAGAUGCCUAUAAAGUGGGUGCUGACUUGCAGUUGUGGCUACAACCUACAGUCAAAUUGGUAAAUUACCUAUGAAUAAUGCCAAUGUAAGUGAUAUUUCAGACAAGUGUAGUAAAUUUCUUCUAUAGCGUGCAAAAAUUGCAUUUGCAAUUGCAAACCGGUUUGAGGCAAGCAAAUACACUUAUAUUCGCAAAUCAAUGCAUUCCUUUUCACAUGUAAUUGCAGAAGCAUAGGUGACCAAACAUGUCCUUAAUAUGAUUCCUGUUGUGCUAGUUGCAGUAUGCUAUUAUUGAAAUAUUAAAGGUUGUUCAGCUGUCAAGUUCAUGUCUUCUAAUAUUACACAGUUCAUCAUUAUAUUUUGGGGCUACUAAUUUGAAGUUUAUUAAGGGAGACAAUGAACCCUUCCUUGAGAAGGAAAAAGGAUUAUAUAAUUUUUCUCUUGUUUACUUGUUGAAAUUUAUUGGAAAGAUGGCUUCACUCUCUGGGCAGAUUCCGCAUAAGUGGGAGCCUUGCACUGGGAACUUUUUUAAGUUUCACUUUGUAGCCAAUUUAUUUAGAACACAAAUUAAGGGGAUGCAUGAAAAUAAGUUGCAUGGGAAUUAAUUCAACAAAUUACCUCAAUAGGACCACAUUUGCCUCCAUGUUUCGUCAAUGUGAUUCCACGAAGUAAACAAAGUAAAAGUGAAUUAUGUUUACAAGGGUAACCUUGUUAACACCUAUGUGAGACAACCUGGUUUGCAAGAUUUUCUUGAUUUAAGCUCAACAUAGUUUGUUUUAUUUGGGAACAUAUGUUUUGUUUCUUUAACAAGGACAUAUUGUUAGUGAAAGGUACUCUAGUUGGUUAUAACUGCAGACUUGCAGCUUUUUGGUUAUAUAUUUUGGCUAGUUUGGUUUUAUUUCAUUUGGCUAAAGUUGCAGUAGUGAUAUCAGAUUGUUGUUGUUUGUGAAUUACAAAGGGUGAGAAGCUUCAUUCUUUUUUUCUUUGAUUUUUGAAUUACCAAGGAUGAGAAACUUAAGCAUCAUCAAUUUGUGGGGUCCAUUUGUUGUUGGAGGACGAGCAGGUUGGUUAAUUUCUUUGGGAUUAUGAUUUUGUCAUUCAUUGCUAGUGCAAUCUUUCUUUCUCAAAAUUCAAGCAGCUUAAUCGUUUCUACUUGGCUUUGAUGCUUAAUCAUGUCACCUUGUUGUAUUUAUUUUUCUAUGGCCUGAUUGCCUUUUGAUGCAAGCUUGCAACAUUUUUUUUUUGCACAUAACAAGGUGCAGGAGUGCCUGUCCACCUUUGUCCAUCUUUUCCCUUUCUUUGUUUUCUUCCAUCAAUCCAUGUGCCGUGUUUUCUCCUCCAACAAUCAAUCCAAUGCUUACCUCUGUUCACAGCUGGAGUUGUAUUAGAUAGUGUCUUGAUUUAUUGAUUUAUUAUAUGGUAUCACUUGUAGGUAGGACCAGAACAAUUCAUGAAACUGUUAUUUUCAGGCAUUACAUUAUCAACUGAAUGCAAGAGAAGUUGAGUUUCUGUUGGUUGGUAUCUGCUUCUGGUGCAAUUUAUCAACUUAAUGCAUUUUUACCACAAAAACGGAAUCAACAUACAUGCUUUAAUUACCAUGGGGAAUUUUUUGUCAUCAUGCAGUGAAUAUUUUGAUGCACAGAGGAUAUGUAAAAUCAAACUUGCAUAUAUACGUCUGUCCAGAAUUAUUGAUGCUAUUUUUAGUUUGAUUGUGUCAAUCAGGUUCUUUUUGACUUCGGGUAUUUCUUUCAAAACCAUUGAGAUUCUCACCAUUUUGAUGUCAGUAAAAAAUCUACUAAGUUGGGAUGAUCGAGUUUAGACCAUCUUUGACUCAGGCCUGACUAUUUGAAAUAGUUCACCUUUACCAGAGAGCUUUAUUGGCUAUUUGCUGACCUUUAGUGAGACAAAAUGUGUAAUUUUAUUAGAAGUGUGAAGGAACUUGGAAUUUUCAAGCAGUGGCAUUUGCAUCUGGAUGAUUAGUUCUAUAGUUUCUCUGCUACAGUUCUGCUUGAUCUUCACCAUCUUUUUUAGUAGUUGCAACUAGAUUAUAGAGAUAAUCUGGAUAGAUGGAAGGGGGUAGAGAUUGGAAGGAGGGCCAUAUUAUCUAGAUCAGAAACAUGGAGAUGAAAUGUUUGUGCAUUCAAUCCUCUUUCCUUUGUGUCACAUAAACAUAACUAGGUCAACAGGAUAGAAAUUUCACAUAAACCAUCUUUGUUGAUGGUUUUUUGAGUUGUGAUAUAGCUGACACUUUUUAUAUUUCUAUUUGUCCGUUGAUAUUUUUCUUUCUUUCUUGUUUUCUCAUAAAAUCUUUUUACUUAUUUUUCAUUCACGUUUUAGUAGGCCCCCAUAAAUUGUUACCUUUUGUUAUCAUUUCCUCCUGAGGAGCCUAGCAUACUAGCUGUUUUAGACAAUGCAUUCCCUUGUCUAGAGGUCUUCUGUGUUUUCUGGGGCUAGUAUGUUUUAGACAAAGCAUACUAGCCCCCGUAAAUGAGUCUGGCAUCUCAUUUACAGAAGACCUCUGGAAAAUUGUCCUGAGGUCUUCUGUUUCUAGUGGAAGUCAUUUUUGCUUGUCAAUUCUUGCUAGUUUAGAGAUGAAAAUAACUAAUUUUUAUUUUCUUUGUGACUAAUAUGACAGUUAUACUUUGUAUGAUUUUCAGGGACUGUAAUAACUUGUGAAGUGGAAAGUUUUCAAAUUUAAUAUAAAAUAUGCCUCGUAACUUUACAGAGUUAGUUUUCUUUAAAUAAAGGACCUUUUAUUUUGUGUUUUUCUAGGAAGUUGUAUUGUUAGAUAAUUUAGCUGCCGUGGUUUUCAUUGUUAGAUAACUAUCACGGUCGUAACAGAACUGAAUUGCCAAGUUUUUCUUAAAUUGGAAAAAUAAUAGUAUGCUUGAUGUCUGUCGAGGAACUGGGAAGACUUGGGGUAUUGUGGUAGCUCCAGGAAUUUUGCAUUUGCUAACAAUACUUUUGUCCUGUCAAGUUAUUCUGUUUAACUGCACCAUACCAAGAUACUCAGAUUGCCAUCUCUUUUGCUCGUGUAUUCGCUGUGUUGCUGUUGCGAGUAAAGGUAUGUUUGCCAAUGCCAAUGUGCCCAUUUUGUGCUCGGUGACGUAGCAUCUUGUAUUUUCAAUGGUUUCUUUAUUUUUGGUGCCUAAAGGCGCAUUGCUUUUCUUCGGAAUUAAGAGAAUACUGUGUAAAUACUCGUUCAACCACGGCAUUUCUUUCAUGAGACUUAUUUAUCUAUUGUCGUUGGUGCAGAUGUGUGGAAGUUGUAAGUGAUGAAUUUGGGCGAAAGGGCGCACCUAUCAGAUUUGUUUGUCAAUUAGAAAUGGGACAAUAAAAUUCUCAAAAUUAAUUUAUCAUAAAUAAAAUAGUGAAAUAAUCUUAAUUUUUCUUUAUACACUUGUGAUCGAUAAGUUUAAUAAAAUUUAAAAUAAAUACACUUUUGCCU